Homo sapiens (human) is the source of this 7895-nucleotide long non-coding RNA. RefSeq annotates it as DIP2A divergent transcript. NCBI's taxonomy places the organism in Eukaryota, Metazoa, Chordata, Mammalia, Primates, Hominidae. The transcript has 2 exons. The record is from RefSeq and is a predicted model, not a curated record.
GACAGGCUCUGCGCUGGGCCUGCUUGAGGGUGGCGGGCUUGAGGCGGGCAGGCUGCUUAGUUGCGGCCCGAGGCGCCUAAGUGGGGAUGACCAACCCGUGGGCGUUGGCGCUGACCCCUAGGCGCCGCUGGUGGCCCCGCGCGCGGCCCUCCGGCCAGCCCCGCCCCUCUCGGGGCUCCUCCUUGGUCCCCGCGCCAUGGCGCGUCCGCGUUGACCGCUGUCUUCCCUUUCGGGCUGUGCUGAUCGCGAACGCUGCGCAGUCCGUGGUGGCGUCGAGGCACCUUUCUCGUGCCUUUACCUGUGUUCACUCCUUUGCUUUAAAAAACAGCCCUAGAAGUACACAUCGUUGGCCCCGAAGGAGCCCCAGCAGCCAUGUCGGACCGCGAGUGUCUGAGGCCUCAGCUGGAGCAGUUCAGAGGCUAGAGGUUGGAAUGAGUGAAGGUUCAUCUGCUCGAAUGUCUGACAGCUGAUACUGGAGAUUGGCUGCAGCCCAGAUUGGGGAUGUCAGCCAGCACACCCCUACACGGCCGGUCCCUGUGGCCGAGGCUUUCUCACAAUAUGAUGGCUGGAUUCCAAGGGCAAUCUAAAGACAAAGGACAAAAGAAAGCUGUAUCCUUUUUGUGAACCAGCCUCAGAAGUUGCAUACCAUCACUUCGGCUACUUCCUAUUUGGAAGAAAUGAGUCACUAAAUUACCCAUAUUCAAAAGGAGAGGAAUUAGGCUUCAUCUUCUAAAGGGAAGAAUAUCAAAAAAUUUGCCAGUAUAUUUUUAAAACACCACACUUGGAAAAAGCCAUGGGCCAUGGUAAGCAAAAUUGAAAUGGCAAAAUUGCUAUGGCAGACAGUGGUGGAAGGGAGUAAAAGGUUCAGGGGUGUGGGCAUGUUGAAAUUUAUAUACUCCGUGCAUCUAGAAGACAUUUGAGACGAUCAUAUUCCACAUGAAGGUGUAAAUAACACGUCAUUUAUAAAGAUCAUUAGACAUAGGAUGAUGAAAGGGGCACUGAUGUCACUAAAAUAUUCAGUGAUGGCUCAUCUCUGUAGGCAAGAAUGACAAUAGAAAGGCUGUUCCAGAACUUGGCUGGGUGAUAGCACUGGGGAUGAUAGGAUCCUAAGACAAAAGAGGCCAUUCUGGGACAUAGUGGGGACCAAAGAAAAAAACCCAAGAAGCCAAAGGCAACACUUAGCUGGCAGAAGUCAGAGGAUUGCAAUUAUAGCAGCCAGCAGGGUCUGAGUGGCAGCCAAGGGGACCUCACUUGUAUGGUUAUAGAACUGGUCAAUAAACAUGGCAUCCCUGGAGGCAAAACAGGUGGGCAGCUAAGAAGGGUACUACUCAGCUGGCAAAAAAAAAAAAAAAAAAAAAAAUCCAUCCAGGCACGGUGGCCUGUGCCUGUAAUCUCAGCAUUUGGGGAAGCUAAGGUGGGAGGAUCACUUGAGCCCAGGAGUUCAAGAUUACAGUGAGCUGUGGUUGCACCACUGCACUCCAGCCCGGGCAAUGUGGCAAGACUGUCUCAAUUGAAAAAAAUAAAUAAAGAUGCUUGUCCCAGUUUUAAAAAAUCAGGAUUCCAUGCCCAGCUUCUGGAACUGAGCCAGUUUUCAGAAAUGGAAACAUUACUUGAGAGGUGGCCAAACACCAGGAAGAAGGACCUAUAACAGUACAAGUACAACAGAAAUGAAUCCCCAGGUACUUUUCCAAAGGGUCUGAUAGCAAUUUCUUUUGAUAACUACAUCCUGGAGAAAAGUGAUUAGCCAAACAUUUGGAAGACUUGUGGACACAGGGUCUAAAUUGAUGUCCAGAUGCCUAGAAUAUCAUCCCCUUCUGUUAGAGUGGCUGCAUGUGGUGGCCAGGUAAUUGAUGGAGUUCUGCUAAAGGUCCAGCUUACAGUGGACCCGUAGACCUAGUGGACUGAUCUAGUGAUAUUUUCUUAGCCUUCGAGUGAGUAAUUGGCAUUGACAUACUUGGCAGUGAAUGCUCAUUCCAGGUCCCUGACCUAUAGAGUUAGAUAACAAAAUGGAAAAAGCCAAACAGAAACCUGAAACUGCCCCAUCCCCUACCAAGAUUAUAAAACAAUUAUCCCAGAGCGGGAAUGGCAGAGAUAAGUGCCACUUCUAAGGAUCCAAGUGAUGUAAAGUGGUGGUUACCAACAUUUUUAAUUUACCAGCAUGACCCCUGCAGAAGUCACAAGGAUCCUGGAGAAUGGCAGCCUACUCUAUUUGCUGUCAACCAGUAGUUGUUUUGGGUACACUGCUGCAAACUCAUCUAAGAAGUAUCCCUGGCCGGGCACAGUGGCUCACGCCUGUAAUCCCAGCACUUUGGGAGGAUAAGGUGGGCGGAACACGAGGUCAGGAGUUCAGUCUGGCCAACAUAGUGAAACCCUGUCUCUACUAAAAAUACAAAAAAUUAGCUGGGUGUGGUGGUGUGCACCUGUAAUCCCAGCUACUUGGGAGGCUGAGGCAGGAGAAUCCCAUGAACCUGGGAGGUGGAGGUUGCAGUGAGCCGAGAUCAUGCCAUUGCACUCCAGCCCAGGUGACAGUGUGAGACUCUAUCUCAAAAAAAAAAAAAAAAAGUAUCCGUAAUAGCCUCUCUGCCAGAUAUGGUAGGUAGUUGUUGACUAGGUGGAUUUGUUCUUUUCUGUACCUAUCAGGGAUCAAAAACAUUUUGCAUUUGCAUGGAAUUAAAAUGCAGUUUUGCCGGAAGGUUAUGUUACUUCUCUUGCUCUCUGUCGUAAUCCAAAGAGAUCUGGACCACCUAGACAUCCUGUAGAAUAUUACAUUGUUCCUUUACAUCAGUGACAUGUUGAUCAGCCAGAUGAGAAGUGCAGAAGAUCCUGGAGACAGCUGCUCCAGAGAGUGGCAUAUAAACCCUACAGGAAUCCAGGAGCCUGCUACAAUCCUAACAUUUUUAGGGCUCCAGUGGUCAGGGGUGCUCUAGGGCAUCCCUUCCAAAAGCGAAUGAAUUAUUGCUGCUUGCACCUCCUGCCGUUAAGAAAGCAAGACGCUUGUUGGUUCUCGAGCUAGUUCUUGCCUCAGGUUCUGGAGGCAGCAUGUCCCACACCUGGGAGUAUUGCUCUGGUCCAGAGACUAGUGGAAUUGGGAGAUUUCCAAUUUUGGAAAGAGCCCAGAACUGGAAACGUCUGUACAGUAGAUCCGGGUUGUGAUGAAGUAAUGCUAUUGCCUGGGCCAUAUAGUCCAACAGGUGUUUUUUUGGUGUUAUUAAUGGUGCAGAAUGAUGCAAUGUAGAGAUUCUGUCAUGCCACCUGGAGCAGAGAAUUGUAUGCAUUUGGGGGGCGGGCGGGUGUAGAUCUGUCUUCUGGUAUGCCACUUGUCUCUGACAGAGAUGGAACGCCUGACCGUAAGCCACCAGGUGACCAUGCAACCAGAACUGCCUGUUAAUGUUAAACUAGCAAAAGUCAUAACAUCAGUUGGGGCCAGCAACGGUCCCUCAUAAUAUGGAAGUAGUAUAUUCAAGGUUGAGCAUGAGAAUGUACAGAGGUUACCAAAUGAGCUGCAGAGCACAGAUGCACAUGACUUCCAGAACUGUUGGAUCAGCCACAAUGUCAUUUCACACCUGUGACAGUGUGAGGGGGCCCUUAUAGCCAGUUGACAGGAGUAAAAAUCGUGAGCAUGGUGUAUAAAUGGGUUGGCUCAGUAUGAGUUCAAAAUGAAAAUAGCAGCUACAUUACAGCCUUCUCAGGGGUGACCUUGAAAAAUGGUGAUAAGGGCAUAUCCUCUCAAUAGGCAGAAUUUCAGGCAGAGCUCCUGGUCGUCCACUUUUUUGUGGAAGAAGUAGCCCAAGGUGAGAAUAUACAUGGAGCCAUGGGCAAUGCUAGAGGGCCUGGGUAACUGGUUAAGGGCCUGGAAGGAAAACAAUCGGAAGUUGGAGAUAAGGAGGUGUGUGGUAGAUUUAUGUGGUCAGAUAAAUUGGAAUAGCACGAAGUACAAUGUUCUUUGUAUACAAUGUUAAUGCCCACCAGAGAGCAUCCAUGAAAGAAGCAUUAUACAACCAAGUAGACAGUUGACUCAGCCAGUUGAUAUUGGACAGCAUCUUUUAUUGGCUACUGUACUACUGGCAUGAUGGGCACAUGGACAAGGUAGCCAAGGUGAUGGACGCUGUUCAUGGGCCUGACAGCAACCCAUGCUCUCUACCCAGCUUUGGUUAAUAUCUAGCUGCCCCUGAAUAUCUAACCUGCCAGCAAAAGAGAUCUACCCGGCUUUGGUUAAUAUCUAGCUGCCCCUAAAUAUCUAACCUGCCAGCAAAAGAGACCAGUGCUAUACUCCCAUUGUGGGUCACUUCAUCAAGGAGCACAAACAUCCAGGUUUACAGAGGUCUUUAGACAUAGUCCCCAUUUUAUAAGGAGAGUUUACUGUAUUGGAACUCUCCCAUCCUGGAAGGGCUGGUGGUUCACUUUUCACAAGAAUAGUCUCAUAUUCCAGAUACGAGGCUUGUCUUUUCCUACUCACAAGUGUCAGCCAGAAAGGCUUAAGGAGUGUUUGUUUCACUGACAUAAGCACACAACAUUUCAAACGAGAUUCACUUUAUAGCCAAGGAAGUGUAGUGUCCAUGGGCCCUCCUGCCUGGCAGAGCGCUGAGACAGCAUGCUAAAGGCACAGCCUCCCAAAGGCAUGAGCCACUGAGCCCGGCACUGAAGACUUCCUUGAAACCGUUCUUUGCAAUCUUUCUGUUAUUGACCAGCUGGACAGUGCGUAACUGCAUGGGAAUGCUUGCAGAUCAGUAAAUUCAGACACCUUCCUUUCCACAUAAGAUGGACCACCAGCUGUACCCUCCCAAGUUUUGCCAGCUGGAAAUCUUCAAAAAUCCAACCCUAAACUAGGUUGUAGUGUAGCAACCAUCUUUUUGUUUGUUUUUUGAGACGGAGUCUCACUCGGUCUUCCAGGCUGGAGUGCAGUGGCGCGAUCUCAGCUCACUGCAACCUCUGCCUCCCGGGUUCAAGCGAUUCCCCUGCCUCCGCCUCCCGAGUAGCUGGGACUACAGGCACACGCCACCAUGCCCGGCUAAUUUUGUGUCUUUUAGUAGAGAUGGGAUUUCACCACGGUGGUCAGGAUAGUCUCAAUCUCCUGACCUCAUGAUCCGCCUGCCUUAGCCUCCCAAAGUGCUGGGAUUUCAGGUGUGAGUCACUAGUGUAGCAACUAUUUAUGGUUCAUGCCACCAUACCGUAUGGAUCCGUUGGUAGAACAAACCUGUAUUUUUUCGUCUUCUGUCAACUGGUCCUAGGGAGCGUCCCGUGAAACCACAGAUGUAGACUGAGGGGUGUGAAGUAGAAGAGGCGGCAGCAUGUGUUUGGUCACUCACUUGGGUCACAUACUUAUGCCUUCUGAAUCUGUUCAGGCAUAGUUUUGUGUAUAUUAUUUCCAGUUUCAGUGGAAUGCUGUUUAUGUCCAGUUUAAUGAUUUGUGUAUAGGCUGUCCUCCUAUGGUAUGCCUCAUGCUUCUGUGGGCUGUAUUGGGAUCAGAGUCUUGGGGGUCUGCAAGCAAGGUGGUAUUGUUGGGUUUUGAGAAUCAGCAUCUCUCUGUGAGGCACUGUAUUUGUUCUCACACUGCUAUAAAGAAAUGCCUGAGGCCAGGUGUGGUGGCUGAGGCCUGUAAUCCCAGCACUUUGGGAGGCCAAAGCCGGUGGAUCACCUGAGGUCAGGAGUUCGAGACCAGCCUGACCAAUAUGGUGAAACUCUGUCUCUACUAAAAGUACAAAAAUUAGUCGGGCCUGGUGGCGUGCACCUGUAGUCUCAGCUACUCAGGAGGCUGAGACAGGAUAAUUGCUUGAACCCGGGAGGCGGAGGUUGCAGUGAGCCAAGAUUGUGCCAUUUAAGCCUGGGUGACAGAGCAAGUCUCCAUCUAAAAAAAAAAAAUGCCUGAGACUGGAUAAUUUAUAAAGAAAAGAGGUAUAUUUGGCUCACGGUUCUGCAGGCUGUACAGUAAGCAUAGUGGCUUUUCCUUUGGGGAGGCCUCAGGAAGCUUCCAAUCAUGGCAGAAGACAAAGGGGGAGCAAGGCACUUCACAUGGCUGUAUUAGGAGGCAGAGAGAGGAUGGAGGUGCCACACACUUGAACAACCAGAUCUCGUGAGAACUCAUUCACUGUCUGAGGACAGCACCCAGGUGUUAAACCAUUCACGAGGAACUGUCCCCAUGAUCCAGUAACCUCCCACCAGGUCCCACCUCCAACAUUAGGGAUUAGAAUUCAGCAUGAGAUUGGGCAGACACACAGAUCCAAACCAUAUCAGGCAUCCAUCCCAGGUGCAGUCAUUAAAAGUUUUCUAUUCAGGCUUUUGAGGUGAUUGUGGUGGGGCCCCUUCAAGGUGGGGGCUGGACACCAGAGGACCCAACCACAUGAUUGGAGGAUUAGGAUUUUCAGCCCCACCCUCAAACCUCUGGAGAGGGGAGGGGGUUGGAGUUUAAGUUCAAUCAUGUGAUCAAUAAUCCAAUCCAUCAUGACUAUGUAAUGAGGCCUUGAUAAAAACUCUUAGCCAAUGAGGCUUACAGAGGUUCUGGGUUGUGCUGUGUUGCGGGAAGUCAGGGACCCCAAACCGAGGGACCGGCUGGAGCCGCGGCAGAGGGACAUAAAUUGUGAAGAUUUCAUGGACGUUUAUCACUUCCUAGUAAUACUCUUAUAAUUUCUUAUGCCUGUCUAAUCUCAAUCCUGUUAUCUUCGUAAGCUGAGGAUGUAUGUCACCUCAGGUCCACUGUGAUGAUUGCAUUAACUGUACAAAUCGAUUGUAAAACGUGCAUUUGACGAGGCCAGGAGAUCAAGACCAUCCUGGCUAACACAGUGAAAACCCGUCUCUACUAAAAAUACAAAAAAUCAGCCGGGUGUGGUGGCAGGCACCUGUAGUCCCAGCUACUCGGGAGGCUGAGGAAGGAGAAUGGCAUGAACCUGGGAGAUGGAGCUUGCAGUGAGCUGAGAUGGCGCCACUGCACUCCAGCCUGGGCGACAGAGUGAGACUCCAUCUCAAAAAACAAACAAACCAAAAAAAAAAAAAAACGUGUGUUUGAACAAUAAUGAAAUCAGUGCACCUUGAAAAUGAACAGAACAGCGAUUUUAGGGAACAAGGGAAGACAACCAUAAGGUCUGACUGCCUGUGGGUUCGGGCAAAAAGAGCCAUAUUUUUCUUCUUGCAGAGAGCCUAUAAACGGACGUGCAAGUAGGAGAGAUAUCGCUAAAUUCUUUUCCUAACAAGGAAUAUUAAGACCCUAGGAAAAUAAUUGCAUUCCUUGGGGGAGGUCUAUAAAUGCUUGCUCUGGGAGUGUCUGUCUUACGCAGUUGAGAUAAAGACUGAAAUACGCCCUGGUCUCCUGCAGUACCCUCAGGAUUGUUAGGGUGGGGGAAAAAACCACUCCCUGGUAAAUCUGAGGUCAGACUGGUUCUCUGCUCUUGAACCCUGUUUUCUGUUGUUUAAGAUGUUUAUCAAGACAAUACAUGCACAGCUGAACAUAGACCCUUACCAGGAGUUUUUGAUUUUGCCCUUUGCCUUGUGAUCUUUAUUGGCCUCAGAAGCACGUAAUCUUUGUUCUCCCUUUUGCCCUUUGAAGCAUGUGAUCUUUGUGACCUACUCCCUGUUCGUACACCCCCUCCCCUUUUGAAGUCCUUAAUAAAAACCUGCUGGUUGUGCGGCUCAGGUGGGCAUCACGGUCCUACCACUAUGUGAUGUCACCCCUGGCAGCCCAGCUCUAAACUUCCUCUUUGUACUCUAUUUCUCAGACUGGCCGACACUUAGGGAAAAUAGAAAGAACCUACGUUGAAAUAUUGGGGAUGGGUUCCCCCGAUAGUGCUGGGAGGGCAGCACGCCUGCAGUGGACACAGAAGCUCUGAGCCCCAUACCUGUCCUGCUCACCUCUUCCAUUUGGCUGUUCCUUUGUUGUACCCUGUAUAAUAAACUGGUAAUCCCAA